Molecule: ribosomal RNA, 377 nt
Filed under: uncultured bacterium
Lineage: Bacteria
Description: bacterial SSU rRNA
Rfam family: Bacterial small subunit ribosomal RNA
Source: RNAcentral
GACGAACGCUGGCGGCGUGCUUAACACAUGCAAGUCGAGCGGUAAGGCCCUUUCGGGGGUACACGAGCGGCGAACGGGUGAGUAACACGUGGGUGACCUGCCCUUAGCUCUGGGAUAAGCCUGGGAAACUGGGUCUAAUACCGGAUAUGACUCCAUAACGCAUGUUGUGGGGUGGAAAGCCUUGUGCGGCUAGGGAUGGGCCCGCGGCCUAUCAGCUUGUUGGUGGGGUGAUGGCCACCAAGGCGACGACGGGUAGCCGGCCUGAGAGGGCGACCGGCCACACUGGGACUGAGACACGGCCCAGACUCCUACGGGAGGCAGCAGUGGGGAAUCUUGCGCAAUGGGCGAAAGCCUGGCGCAGCGACGCCGCGUGGGGA